This 486-nucleotide ribosomal RNA is filed under the name Salmonella enterica subsp. enterica serovar Heidelberg. Its description in RNAcentral is "partial 23S ribosomal RNA". It matches the Rfam family "Bacterial large subunit ribosomal RNA", at positions 34 to 559 of the family's 2925-position model. The record is from RNAcentral. RNAcentral also lists the same sequence under 3 other names. Lineage: Bacteria; Pseudomonadati; Pseudomonadota; Gammaproteobacteria; Enterobacterales; Enterobacteriaceae.
UGGCAGUCAGAGGCGAUGAAGGGCGUGCUAAUCUGCGAUAAGCGCCGGUAAGGUGAUAUGAACCGUUAUAACCGGCGAUACCCGAAUGGGGAAACCCAGUGUGACUCGUCACACUAUCAUUAACUGAAUCCAUAGGUUAAUGAGGCGAACCGGGGGAACUGAAACAUCUAAGUACCCCGAGGAAAAGAAAUCAACCGAGAUUCCCCCAGUAGCGGCGAGCGAACGGGGAGGAGCCCAGAGCCUGAAUCAGCAUGUGUGUUAGUGGAAGCGUCUGGAAAGGCGCGCGAUACAGGGUGACAGCCCCGUACACAAAAGCGCAUGUGCUGUGAGCUCGAUGAGUAGGGCGGGACACGUGGUAUCCUGUCUGAAUAUGGGGGGACCAUCCUCCAAGGCUAAAUACUCCUGACUGACCGAUAGUGAACCAGUACCGUGAGGGAAAGGCGAAAAGAACCCCGGCGAGGGGAGUGAAAAAGAACCUGAAACCGU